UGAGGAUUUUGCUUGAGGUUAAGCAAACGCUUAAGUGUCAGGGUAUCUGAUAAACCGUAAUUUAUACAUAUUUUUAUCCCAUGCUUAGCACAUUUAUGGAUGAUUUCUCCUUAGAUUUGGUGAAAUUGAUGCUCUUGAUCCUUUAGUUUCAUGUUUUAUACUUAGGUGAGCAUAGGAGAGAAAAAGAGCGAGAAACGGGCUAAAAACGGAGAAAAUGGACCAACAUGGGAAAUCAACACAGCCUGGACUUCCUCAC
This 256-nucleotide long non-coding RNA is filed under the name Gossypium barbadense (sea-island cotton). Its description in RNAcentral is "long non-coding RNA (GBAR_LNC010522)". The record is from RNAcentral. Lineage: Eukaryota; Viridiplantae; Streptophyta; Magnoliopsida; Malvales; Malvaceae.